This 442-nucleotide ribosomal RNA is filed under the name uncultured bacterium. RNAcentral describes it as "partial 16S ribosomal RNA". It matches the Rfam family "Bacterial small subunit ribosomal RNA", at positions 338 to 795 of the family's 1533-position model. The record is from RNAcentral.
CCUACGGGAGGCAGCAGUAGGGAAUCUUUCACAAUGGGCGAAAGCCUGAUGGAGCAACGCCGCGUGCAGGAUGAAGGCCUUCGGGUUGUAAACUGCUUUUAUAAGCGAGAAAUAUGAUGGUAACUUAUGAAUAAGGAUCGGCUAACUACGUGCCAGCAGCCGCGGUCAUACGUAGGAUCCGAGCAUUAUCCGGAGUGACUGGGUGUAAAGAGUUGCGUAGGUGGCAUAAUAAGUAGCUAGUGAAAUCUGAUGGCUCAACCAUUCAGACUAUUAGCAAAACUGUUAAGCUCGAGAACGUUAGGGGUAACUGGAAUUUCUGGUGUAGGAGUGAAAUCCGUAGAUAUUAGGAGGAACACCAAUAGCGAAGGCAGGUUACUGGGACGGUUCUGACACUAAGGCACGAAAGCGUAGGGAGCAAACGGGAUUAGAUACCCGGGUAGUC